GUCCGGAUUGUAGUCUGCAACUCGACUACAUGAAGUUGGAAUCGCUAGUAAUCGCGGAUCAGCAUGUCGCGGUGAAUACGUUCCCGGGUCUUGUACACACCGCCCGUCACACCAUGGGAGCGGGUUUUACCAGAAGUAGGUAGCUUAACCGCAAGGAGGGCGCUUACCACGGUAGGAUUCGUGACUGGGGUGAAGUCGUAACAAGGUAGCCGUAUCGGAAGGUGCGGCUGGAUCACCUCCUUU
RNAcentral lists this non-coding RNA (243 nucleotides) under Sporocytophaga myxococcoides. Its description in RNAcentral is "Bacterial small subunit ribosomal RNA". It matches the Rfam family "Bacterial small subunit ribosomal RNA", at positions 1291 to 1533 of the family's 1533-position model. The record is from Rfam by way of RNAcentral. Lineage: Bacteria; Pseudomonadati; Bacteroidota; Cytophagia; Cytophagales; Cytophagaceae.